UUGGCGGUCAGCGCGGGCGCUGUCAGGCCGCCGCCCUGGCGGUUGAUGCCCUUGUUGUUCGACAGGUCGCCGCCGAUC
RNAcentral lists this transfer RNA (78 nucleotides) under Paraburkholderia graminis C4D1M. RNAcentral describes it as "tRNA-Gly". Lineage: Bacteria; Pseudomonadati; Pseudomonadota; Betaproteobacteria; Burkholderiales; Burkholderiaceae. The record is from RNAcentral.